This 253-nucleotide ribosomal RNA is filed under the name uncultured bacterium. RNAcentral describes it as "partial 16S ribosomal RNA". It matches the Rfam family "Bacterial small subunit ribosomal RNA", at positions 524 to 776 of the family's 1533-position model. The record is from RNAcentral.
UACGGGGGGGGCAAGCGUUGUUCGGAAUUACUGGGCGUAAAGGGCUCGUAGGUGGCCAACUAAGUCAGACGUGAAAUCCCUCGGCUUAACCGGGGAACUGCGUCUGAUACUGGAUGGCUUGAGUUCGGGAGAGGGAUGCGGAAUUCCAGGUGUAGCGGUGAAAUGCGUAGAUAUCUGGAGGAACACCGGAGGCGAAGGCGGCUCACUGGGGGUCUUCUGACGCUGAGGAACGAAAGCCAGGGGAGCGAACGGG